Macaca mulatta (Rhesus monkey) is the source of this 1688-nucleotide non-coding RNA. Lineage: Eukaryota; Metazoa; Chordata; Mammalia; Primates; Cercopithecidae. The record is from RefSeq and is a predicted model, not a curated record.
UGGCGUGCGACUCUGCGCCAGCGCCGGUGCUGUACGUUUGUGAGGGCGGAGCUGAAUUCUCCUCAGCCCAGACACUGAGAGCAUCGCGAGGGCGGAGCUGUGUUCUCCUCUGCACAGACCUCGGGGGUACCGUGAAGACAGAGCAGCGUUCUACCCUGCCCAGACCCUGGCGUGGGGGGCACCGCGAGGGCGGAGCUGCGUUGUGCUCAGCACAGACGUUGGCGGCACCGCCUCGCUUUGGGACAACUCGGGGCCGCAUCCACAGUGAAUAAAAUACUUCCUGUUUCUAGCCCUGAAUAACGAAGAUUUCAGAGGAGAGCCUGGUGUCACUUACAGCAGACAUUGCAGAUGCCUCAGCAUUUCGGAUGAAGACGUAACCAAGGAGCCUUUGAUUAGUAGUGAAAUUGUGGCACCCCAACAAUGGUGGAGUGGAAUAUCCUGCUACUCUGGAGGGGUGAUGGCUCAGGGUCAAGACUGAACUAAUUAGAAAAAGAAAUGCACUCCAGGAAUAUCAAGUCCAAAACGAAGCUCUUCAAACCAUCUGGGAAGAGAAAACAGCAUGACAAGGAAAGGUAUAUUUGUCUGAUCCCAGGAAUCAAUAUAAACAUCCAUGAUAACCCCACCUAUUUUUUAAAUAUAUGAUUUGGAUGAAACAAGAGAAAGAGACUGAUUGUUGCUGAGUCCCUGCUGCAGUCCCGACACAGCUGGAGAUGCCCUGCUCCCCUGCUCCCCUGCUCCCCCGCUCCCCCGCUCCCCCGCUCCCCCGCUCUCCUGCUCUCCUGCUCUCUUUAUUUUGUUGAUGCUCAUGAGGACCCUGAUGUCUGAGGAAGAAGGUUCCCGUCCAGCUCUGCCCCUGGUGUGUCACGUGCCGGCCUUGUCAACGCACAGGAGAACCUGACAGGAUGGCACCGAAAGUGAAGAAGGAAGUUCCUGCCCCUCCUAAAGCCAAAGCCAAAGCCAAAGCUUUAAAGGCCAAGAAGGCAGUGUUGAAAGGUGUCCACAGCAACAUACAGAAAAGAAGAUCCGCAUGUCAUUCACCUUGAGGUGGCCCAAGACACUGCGACUCCGGAGGCAGCCCACAUAUCCUCGGAAGAUCACCCCCAGGAGAAACAAGCUUGACCACUAUGCUAUCAUCAAGUUUCCGCUGACCACUGAGUCGGCCAUGAAGAAGAUAGAAGAAAACAACAUACUUGUGUUCAUUGUGGAUGUUAAAGCCAACAAGCACCAGAUUAAACAGGCUGUGAAGAAGCUCUGGGACAUGGAUGUGGCCACAGUCAACAUCCUGAUUCGACCUGAUAAAGAGAAGAAGGCAUAUGUUCGACUCGCUCCUGAUUAUGAUGCUUUGGAUGUUGCAACAAAAUUGGGAUCAUCUAAACCGAGUCCAACUGACUAACUCUAAAUAUAUGUAUAUCUUUUCACCAUAAAAAAGAAAUAAUGUUUUUCAUAAGAAUGACAACUUAAUUAGAAUCAAAUUUAAAAGCUUUAAGAUUUUACGUUUCUAGUAAGUAUAAUAUUAGCUUAUUUGAGUAGAACUCAAGCAGAAUAGGAAUUUAUGUUUGUUUUAUAUUCGAUAGUGGUAACUUUGAAGACAUAGUUGUUUUAUUACACCAAAAAUAUUAUAUUAACCUUAUUUAACUAAGUUUUAUCCAAAUCGUGUUAACUUAAAAAACAUUUGACCAGUUCCUAUA